CCUACGGGAGGCAGCAGUGGGGAAUAUUGGACAAUGGGCGCAAGCCUGAUCCAGCAAUGCCGCGUGAGUGAAGAAGGCCUUCGGGUUGUAAAGCUCUUUUGUCGGGGAAGAAACGGUGGGGGCUAAUAUCUCCUACUAAUGACGGUACCUGAAGAAUAAGCACCGGCUAACUACGUGCCAGCAGCCGCGGUAAUACGUAGGGUGCAAGCGUUAAUCGGAAUUACUGGGCGUAAAGCGUGCGCAGGCGGUUUUGUAAGUCUGUCGUGAAAGCCCCGGGCUCAACCUGGGAAUUGCGAUGGAGACUGCAAGGCUUGAAUCUGGCAGAGGGGGGUAGAAUUCCACGUGUAGCAGUGAAAUGCGUAGAGAUGUGGAGGAACACCGAUGGCGAAGGCAGCCCCCUGGGUCAAGAUUGACGCUCAUGCACGAAAGCGUGGGGAGCAAACAGGAUUAGAUACCCUGGUAGUCCACGCCCUAAACGAUGUCUACUAGUUGUCGGGUUUUAAUUAACUUGGUAACGCAGCUAACGCGUGAGUAGACCGCCUGGGGAGUACGGUCGCAAGNUUAAAACUUCAAAGGAAUUGACGGNNGNGAGNGCGAGCGACGACGAGGAGAGG
Molecule: ribosomal RNA, 614 nt
Filed under: uncultured bacterium
Lineage: Bacteria
Description: bacterial SSU rRNA
Rfam family: Bacterial small subunit ribosomal RNA
Source: RNAcentral